This 109-nucleotide ribosomal RNA is filed under the name Amoebidium parasiticum. RNAcentral describes it as "5.8S ribosomal RNA". It matches the Rfam family "5.8S ribosomal RNA", at positions 1 to 107 of the family's 154-position model. Rfam says of the family: 5.8S ribosomal RNA (5.8S rRNA) is a component of the large subunit of the eukaryotic ribosome. It is transcribed by RNA polymerase I as part of the 45S precursor that also contains 18S and 28S rRNA. Lineage: Eukaryota; Ichthyosporea; Ichthyophonida; Amoebidiaceae. The record is from RNAcentral.
ACAACUUUUAACGGUGGAUCUCUUGGCUCGUGCAUCGAUGAAGAACGCAGCGAAAUGCGAUACGUAGUGUGAAUUGCAGAUUUUCGUGAAUCAUCGAAUCUUUGAACGC